AUCCAGCCACAUUUUAUAUUAUCAGUUAAUCAGAAGUGUGAAAUACACUGUGACAGGCUUACAGCACUUUAUCAGACUUCUAUCAUUUUUCUGGUUAAAUGGCAGCUGAACUAGUUAACGUGAAUGAGUUCCAAAUUAUGGCUAAGCAAGUCCUGCCAAAAAUGUACUAUGACUUCUAUGCUGGAGGAGCAGAGGACCAGUAUACCCUGAAAGAGAAUGUGGAAGCUUUUCAAAAAAUCUUGUUUCGGCCUAGAGUUCUUAUGGAUGUUAGCAGAAUAGAAUUGUCCACUACUGUAUUCGGUCACGCUAUCUCAGCACCUAUAAUGAUAGCUCCAACCUCUAUGCAUAAGCUUGCACACCCUGAAGGAGAAAUUGCUACUGCAAGAGCAGCAGCUGCAUGUAACACCAUAAUGGUUUUAUCCGUCUCCGCC
RNAcentral lists this unclassified non-coding RNA (431 nucleotides) under Hevea brasiliensis (rubber tree). The record is from RNAcentral. Lineage: Eukaryota; Viridiplantae; Streptophyta; Magnoliopsida; Malpighiales; Euphorbiaceae.